RNAcentral lists this non-coding RNA (73 nucleotides) under unclassified sequences. RNAcentral's name for it is "RAGATH-18 RNA". It matches the Rfam family "RAGATH-18 RNA". Rfam says of the family: Actinobacteria, Firmicutes, Fusobacteria, Thermotogae (1 example). The record is from Rfam by way of RNAcentral.
ACUGUGGACUAUACAAGAACUUGUAAGUAGUGAAUUAGAAAUAAUCACAAAAGCAUAUAGGUUGAAGCAGUAA